GCCACUUUAGCUUAGUGGUAGAGCGUCUGCUUCGUAAGCAGAAGGUCGGCAGUCUGGAGCAUUUGGUG
RNAcentral lists this transfer RNA (68 nucleotides) under Perkinsus olseni. RNAcentral describes it as "tRNA-Thr". It matches the Rfam family "tRNA". From Rfam's summary of the family: Transfer RNA (tRNA) molecules are approximately 80 nucleotides in length. Their secondary structure includes four short double-helical elements and three loops (D, anti-codon, and T loops). Further hydrogen bonds mediate the characteristic L-shaped molecular structure. tRNAs have two regions of fundamental functional importance: the anti-codon, which is responsible for specific mRNA codon recognition, and the 3' end, to which the tRNAs corresponding amino acid is attached (by aminoacyl-tRNA synthetases). tRNAs cope with the degeneracy of the genetic code in two manners: having more than one tRNA (with a specific anti-codon) for a particular amino acid; and 'wobble' base-pairing, i.e. permitting non-standard base-pairing at the 3rd anti-codon position. The record is from RNAcentral. Lineage: Eukaryota; Perkinsozoa; Perkinsida; Perkinsidae.